Molecule: ribosomal RNA, 231 nt
Filed under: uncultured bacterium
Lineage: Bacteria
Description: partial 16S ribosomal RNA
Rfam family: Bacterial small subunit ribosomal RNA
Source: RNAcentral
ACGCUCGACACCUACGGGUGGCAGCAGUAGGGAAUCUUCCACAAUGGACGCAAGUCUGAUGGAGCAACGCCGCGUGAGUGAAGAAGGUCUUCGGAUCGUAAAACUCUGUUGUUAGAGAAGAACACGAGUGAGAGUAACUGUUCAUUCGAUGACGGUAUCUAACCAGCAAGUCACGGCUAACUACGUGCCAGUAGCCGCCGGUAAGUACUGAGGCGGGCGUGGCGAAGGACG